GAUGAACGCUGGCGGCGUGCCUAAUACAUGCAAGUCGAGCGAACGGACGAGAAGCUUGCUUCUCUGGUGUUAGCGGCGGACGGGUGAGUAACACGUGGAUAACCUACCUAUAAGACUGGGAUAACUUCGGGAAACCGGAGCUAAUACCGGAUAAUAUUUUGAACCGCAUGGUUCAAAAGUGAAAGACGGUCUUGCUGUCACUUAUAGAUGGAUCCGCGCUGCAUUAGCUAGUUGGUAAGGUAACGGCUUACCAAGGCAACGAUGCAUAGCCGACCUGAGAGGGUGAUCGGCCACACUGGAACUGAGACACGGUCCAGACUCCUACGGGAGGCAGCAGUGGGGAAUCUUCCGCAAUGGGCGAAAGCCUGACGGAGCAACGCCGCGUGAGUGAUGAAGGUCUUCGGAUCGUAAAACUCUGUUAUUAGGGAAGAACAUAUGUGUAAGUAACUGUGCACAUCUUGACGGUACCUAAUCAGAAAGCCACGGCUAACUACGUG
Molecule: ribosomal RNA, 497 nt
Filed under: uncultured bacterium
Lineage: Bacteria
Description: partial 16S ribosomal RNA
Rfam family: Bacterial small subunit ribosomal RNA
Source: RNAcentral